GCCACCCUAGCUCAAUUGGCAGAGCACAAUACUUGUAAUAUUGCGGUUGUGAGUUCAAGUCUCACGGGUGGCU
RNAcentral lists this transfer RNA (73 nucleotides) under Chloroflexota bacterium. Its description in RNAcentral is "Chloroflexi bacterium (sediment metagenome) tRNA-Thr". It matches the Rfam family "tRNA". Rfam says of the family: Transfer RNA (tRNA) molecules are approximately 80 nucleotides in length. Their secondary structure includes four short double-helical elements and three loops (D, anti-codon, and T loops). Lineage: Bacteria; Bacillati; Chloroflexota. The record is from RNAcentral.